RNAcentral lists this transfer RNA (76 nucleotides) under Devosia sp. RNAcentral describes it as "tRNA-Asn". It matches the Rfam family "tRNA". From Rfam's summary of the family: Transfer RNA (tRNA) molecules are approximately 80 nucleotides in length. Their secondary structure includes four short double-helical elements and three loops (D, anti-codon, and T loops). Lineage: Bacteria; Pseudomonadati; Pseudomonadota; Alphaproteobacteria; Hyphomicrobiales; Devosiaceae. The record is from RNAcentral. RNAcentral also lists the same sequence under 1 other name.
UCCGCGAUAGCUCAGUUGGUAGAGCAAUCGGCUGUUAACCGAUUGGUCGUAGGUUCGAGUCCUACUCGCGGAGCCA